UCAAGACGUCCAUUUCAUUUCAGCUUGUCCCAGUCAACAUCACAGCAGUGCAGUUUUUCAGCACAAGAUUAUGUAGGUGCGUGACUGCAUUAGUAUGCUAGUGAGUGUGUGUAGGUUAUAAGAGAUGGGCAGCAGUGAGGAGCAAAGCUGCUUCUGUGUCGCUCUGAGCUUUCUGAAGGACGCAGAGGAAGACACUGAGCUGCAAGUGUCCAAACAGAUACAGCAUCAGGAUCUCACACUGAAGGUCAACAGAGAGACAGAGGAUGUCACCCUUACAGUAGAGGACGGUGAUGGAGUGUGUGUUUUUAAGUUCUCCAUUAUGAGGGAGACAGAGUGCUGUCGAGUGGGGACUCAGUGCUUCCUUGUAACUGCGGGUUGUGUGAGCAUCCUGUUGAGGUUCAAGACGCGGACAGAAUUUCAGACCUUCCACAGAACAAUAAGGGCAUGCACUGACAGCAGGAGAGAGCUGUCAGCAUUCGACCAGAGGACAGAGAGCUCGUCUGCCCUCCAAUACUUCCAGUUUUAUGGCUGUCUUUCGCAGCAGCAGAACAUGCUUCAGGAUUACCUGAGAACAGCCACAUACCAAAAAGCCAUUUUACUGAAUGACGUUGACUUCAGAGAUAAAGUGGUGCUCGAUGUUGGAUGUGGAACAGGGAUUUUGUCCUUUUUUGCCAUCCAGGCUGGAGCUAGGAAAGUGUACGCAGUGGAGGCCAGUUCCGUGGCCACAUAUGCAGAAGUGCUGGUGAGGAGUAACGGCUUGGCGGACAGGAUCGUUGUGCUUGCUGGGAAGAUCGAGGAGGUGUCCUGCCCUGAGAAAGUGGACAUCAUCAUCUCAGAACCCAUUGGCUACAUGCUUCUUAAUGAGAGGAUGCUGGAGAGCUAUUUACACUCCAAAAAAUGGUUGAAGCCUAAAGGCAUGAUGUUCCCCACCUUCAGUGACAUCCAUCUGGCCCCAUUUACAGAUGAGCAGCUUUACUUGGAGCACCAUGCACGCUCCAACUUCUGGCUCCAGACCUCUUUCUACGGGGUAAACCUGAGUGGACUCCAUCCUGCAGCCAUGGACGAGUUCUUCAGACAGCCGAUUGUGGAUACGUUUGAAGCUCAGAUUCUAAUGGCCAGGUCUGUAAAACACAGCAUUAACUUUAUGGGAGCAAAAGAAGAGGACUUGCACAGGAUGGAAAUUCCCUUUGUCUUCAAACUCAUGCAGUCAGGACUGAUUCAUGGACUUGCGUUCUGGUUUGAUGUGGCAUUUGUAGGAUCAAGGACAACAGUGUGGCUAUCCACUGCACCGCAUGAGCCACUGUCUCACUGGUACCAGGUCCGAUGUCUCCUACAGACGCCUCUGUUUGCAAAAAUAGGCCAGACCCUAUCUGGACAGGUUCUACUGAUUGCCAACAAGAGACAGAGCUAUGAUAUUCAUAUCACAGCCGUAAUUGAUGAGUCUGGCUUUAAAUCUGGCAACACAUUGGACCUUAAAAACCCUUUCUUCCGGAUGCCACGGUGGCUGCAGAUGUAAAGAGCCCACAGCAGUAAAGAGCAUUAAGUGAGGAUUGGCAGAGUAGUCAGUGCCACAGUGGCUGGAAAAGCGGCAUCCGUGGAGUAGGCUGGGUAUGCUUGACCGACCAUUUGUUGCUGGGAUCGUCAAUCUGCUUUGAAAUCCUGAUUCAGAUACAAGAAAUACCCCAUACAAGCUCAGAUAAUCAGUUAUAAAUCACAUGCUUUAUUUCUAUAAGAGCUGUGUUGCAUACGUGUGUGUUGUGAAGUCUGUAUCCUGCAACAUUGUUUUGGUGCAACUUGAAGACAAAUAAAAUACAAUUAUUUGCAAUACAG
RNA transcript from Ictalurus punctatus (channel catfish), 1830 nucleotides. It is a transcript of the gene named coactivator-associated arginine methyltransferase 1, like, with no coding region annotated. Lineage: Eukaryota; Metazoa; Chordata; Actinopteri; Siluriformes; Ictaluridae. The transcript has 14 exons. The record is from RefSeq and is marked provisional.